Molecule: ribosomal RNA, 371 nt
Filed under: uncultured bacterium
Lineage: Bacteria
Description: bacterial SSU rRNA
Rfam family: Bacterial small subunit ribosomal RNA
Source: RNAcentral
UGGGCGUAAGCGUGCGUAGGUGGUCGUUUAAGUCCGUUGUGAAAGCCCUGGGCUCAACCUGGGAACUGCAKUGGAUACUGGRCGACUAGAGUGUGGUAGAGGGUARCGGAAUUCCUGGUGUAGCAGUGAAAUGCGUAGAGAUCAGGAGGAACAUCCAUGGCGAAGGCAGCUACCUGGACCAACACUGACACUGAKGCACGAAAGCGUGGGGAGCAAACAGGAUUAGAUACCCUGGUAGUCCACGCCCUAAACGAUGCSAACUGGAUGUUGGGUGCAAUUUGGCACGCAGUAUCGAAGCUAACGCGUUAAGUUCYCCGCCUGGGGAGUACGGUCGCAAGACUGAAACUCAAAGGAAUUGGCGGGGGAGCACA